Poecilia latipinna (sailfin molly) is the source of this 1121-nucleotide long non-coding RNA. RefSeq lists it as uncharacterized. NCBI's taxonomy places the organism in Eukaryota, Metazoa, Chordata, Actinopteri, Cyprinodontiformes, Poeciliidae. The record is from RefSeq and is a predicted model, not a curated record. The transcript is spliced from 2 exons.
UUCCAGGGUCCGCGGGGGGUCCGCGGGGGGUCCGCUGUGUUCAGGUGCAGCUGCGGGGCUCAGACACACAAGUUGUUAUGAUUUCAGUCUGGUUCUGUGAAGACUUAAUGACUUGACACGCUUUGCUUAGAGACCUGAGUGUGUUUGUGUGUUUGUGUGUGUGAUUUCUGACCUCUCUGCUCCUCAGAGUUUCCUCUGCUUUCACCUUUGACCUUUUACUCCUGUUGUUUUCCCUGAUGAAGAGGCUUUUGGUUCAUUCUCAGGUCUGCUAGGCCUCCUAAUGAAGACUGAGCUGCUCUCUGACUUGUUGCUCUCCUCCUCCUCCUCCUCCUCCUCCUCCUCCUCCUCCAUGUGUGUUGUUAAUGAGUCAGCGCGAUUCGGCCUCCAGAACAUCGGUUAACGUGUUUCUGGGGGACCGGUCCAGGAAGUUGAGGUUCUGAUCCAGGAGUCAGUCUUGCUGGGUUCCAGCUGUUUGUUAUCAUACUCAAUACUGAAAAGGAAGAAACCCUCUCCACCUGCAUCAGCCACCAGAUUCUAGAAUUGUGGUCUGGGGCCAUACAAAUUCAUUCAGAGGGCCACAAUCGGCCCCCGGACCACACUUUGGACCAACAGGUCCGAUCCUCAACUUUGAACCGGGUUUGGAAAAGUGAGCAAAGUUCCUGCAAUAGAAGCUGAAAACUCUGUGAGGCUGUGAAGUCAAUAAAUAUGACCUUUGACCUGAGCUGCCACAAACGACUGACCUGAUUGGCCAGAAGGAGCCAAUCACAGAGCAGAUUGGUGAAAGUCGGAGAAGCCAAACCUUUGCAACCAGGCCGGAUGGUUUGGAUCAGAGUGGCUGCUCGGCACCGCAACGCCGUCUGGUUCUCGUCAGAAUCUUCAGCAUCGCCAUGGUUACCGCCUCCGUCUCCAUGACGAGCAUGUGAGCUGUCAUCAUGUCACGUUUUCACACCUGACCCAGAUUAGUCAGAACCGCCAAACCGUCUCUGAGGGACCGACCCGGGCCCAGCAGUCCGACAUCUUCAGACCUGGAAACAACUGGAAAACACCUGGAAACAACUGGAAAACACCUGGAAACACCAGGAAAAUACAUGGAAAUACCUGGAAACACCUGGAAACAACUG